UAGUACCAUAUGUAAAGAGUAUCUCCUCAUUUAAGCAUUGUGUAAAUGGCACUUUGUGUUUCCUACUGUACGAGGGUAGUGCACACCCUCUAAGUAGUUCUUAAAUGAACCUUUGCUAAAGGGCUAAGGAAAAGGCUCUAUUACCUUAUAUUGUAAGCACAGAUACCUAUAUAGCUUAUUGUAAUAUAAGAACGCUAUGUUAUAUUAUUCCAAUUUAAUGAGUAGAUGUGAAUUUUGGUAAGUCUCACAACAUACUAUGUAAAGUUUUGAUUCAGGUGGUGUAACAAAUAUUUGGCGAAAUUAAGGAGGGGUGAAUGUAACACGGUUAACACAGUUAACUUAAAUAUAUAAAUGUUCGCCAAAUAUCUCAGAUCUGCAAGAGGUUAAAUUCCUGACAGGAAGAAUCACUUGGACUGUACCAAAAUACUGACCAAAAGUGCAGAAUAUACCUUUGAAUGUUUUACUGUUAAUUAUGUUCUAGUUAAGAAAUAAAUAGUUCUAACAGAGCAGCUAACUUCUGUGGGAAAGAUCAUAGCCACACUCUAAACAGAAUCUUUACCAGACCAUAAUCCUUAAUGGACUUUCCCUUACCCCCUGUCUAUAUCCUACCAUUUGGUCUGGUCCCUCCUCAGUGCUUUAGUUCCACAGAAGAGGUCCCCAGCAGACAGUGCCAAUCAAUAAAGCAUUGUAAAGUUA
Xenopus laevis (African clawed frog) is the source of this 696-nucleotide long non-coding RNA. RefSeq lists it as uncharacterized. The transcript has 2 exons. Lineage: Eukaryota; Metazoa; Chordata; Amphibia; Anura; Pipidae. The record is from RefSeq and is a predicted model, not a curated record.